This 79-nucleotide transfer RNA is filed under the name Pseudomonas phage nickie. RNAcentral's name for it is "tRNA-Arg". It matches the Rfam family "tRNA". From Rfam's summary of the family: Transfer RNA (tRNA) molecules are approximately 80 nucleotides in length. Their secondary structure includes four short double-helical elements and three loops (D, anti-codon, and T loops). The record is from RNAcentral. Lineage: Duplodnaviria; Heunggongvirae; Uroviricota; Caudoviricetes.
CGGGCUGUACGCAAAGUGGGAAAGCGGCCGGCGCUCGAUGCCGGUGAUGGUGGAGGUUCGAGUCCUCCUGGCCCGACCA